GUGGAGGAACACCAGUGGCGAAGGCGACUCUCUGGUCUGUAACUGACGCUGAGGCGCGAAAGCGUGGGGAGCGAACAGGAUUAGGAUACCCUGGUAGUCCACGCCGUAAACGAUGAGUGCUAAGUGUUAGAGGGUUUCCGCCCUUUAGUGCUGCAGCAAACGCAUUAAGGCACUCCGCCUGGGGAGUACGGUCGCAAGACUGAAACUCAAAGGAAUUGACGGGGGCCCGCACAAGCGGUGGAGCAUGUGGUUUAAUUUCGAAGCAACGCGAAGAACCUUACCAGGUCUUGACAUCCUCUGACAACCCUAGAGAUAGGGCUUCCCCUUCGGGGGCAGAGUGACAGGUGGUGCAUGGUUGUCGUCAGCUCGUGUCGUGAGAUGUUGGGUUAAGUCCCGCAACGAGCGCAACCCUUGAUCUUAGUUGCCAGCAUUUCAGUUGGGCACUCUAAGGUGACUGCCGGUGACAAACCGGAGGAAGGUGGGGAUGACGUCAAAUCAUCAUGCCCCUUAUGACCUGGGCCUACACACGUGCUACAAUGGGCAGAACAAAGGGCAGCGAAGCCGCGAGGCUAAGCCAAUCCCACAAAUCUGUUCUCAGUUCGGAUCGCCAGUCUGCAACUCGACUGCGUGAAGCUGGAAUCGCUAGUAAUCGCGGAUCAGCAUGCCGCGGUGAAUACGUUCCCGGGCCUUGUACACCACCGCCCGUCACACCACGAGAGUUUGUAACACCCGAAGUCGGUGAGGUAACCUUUUGGAG
RNAcentral lists this ribosomal RNA (757 nucleotides) under Bacillus licheniformis. Its description in RNAcentral is "bacterial SSU rRNA". It matches the Rfam family "Bacterial small subunit ribosomal RNA", at positions 698 to 1448 of the family's 1533-position model. Lineage: Bacteria; Bacillati; Bacillota; Bacilli; Caryophanales; Bacillaceae. The record is from RNAcentral.